UACGAAGGGGGCUAGCGUUGCUCGGAAUCACUGGGCGUAAAGCGCACGUAGGCGGAUCUUUAAGUCAGGGGUGAAAUCCCGAGGCUCAACCUCGGAACUGCCUUUGAUACUGGGGAUCUCGAGUCCGGAAGAGGUUGGUGGAACUCCGAGUGUAGAGGUGAAAUUCGUAGAUAUUCGGAAGAACACCAGUGGCGAAGGCGGCCAACUGGUCCGGUACUGGACGCUGAGGUGCGAAAGCGUGGGGAGCAAACAGGG
Molecule: ribosomal RNA, 255 nt
Filed under: uncultured bacterium
Lineage: Bacteria
Description: partial 16S ribosomal RNA
Rfam family: Bacterial small subunit ribosomal RNA
Source: RNAcentral